UACGGGGGGAGCAAGCGUUGUUCGGAUUUACUGGGCGUAAAGGGCGCGUAGGCGGCCAGCCACAAGUCAGUUGUGAAAUCUCCGAGCUUAACUCGGAAAGGUCAACUGAUACUGUGCGGCUAGAGUGCGGAAGGGGCAACUGGAAUUCUUGGUGUAGCGGUGAAAUGCGUAGAUAUCAAGAGGAACACCUGCGGCGAAGGCGGGUUGCUGGGCCGACACUGACGCUGAGGCGCGAAAGCCAGGGGAGCGAACGGG
This 255-nucleotide ribosomal RNA is filed under the name uncultured bacterium. RNAcentral's name for it is "partial 16S ribosomal RNA". It matches the Rfam family "Bacterial small subunit ribosomal RNA", at positions 524 to 776 of the family's 1533-position model. The record is from RNAcentral.